This 468-nucleotide ribosomal RNA is filed under the name uncultured bacterium. RNAcentral's name for it is "partial 16S ribosomal RNA". It matches the Rfam family "Bacterial small subunit ribosomal RNA", at positions 28 to 507 of the family's 1533-position model. The record is from RNAcentral.
GAUGAACGCUGGCGGCGUGCUUAACACAUGCAAGUCGAACGGAAAGGCCAGUGCUUGCACUGGUACUCGAGUGGCGAACGGGUGAGUAACACGUGGGUGAUCUGCCCUGCACUUCGGGAUAAACCUGGGAAACUGGGUCUAAUACCGGAUAGGACAAUGGUUUGGAUGCCGUUGUGGAAAGUUUUUUCGGUGUGGGAUGAGCUCGCGGCCUAUCAGCUUGUUGGUGGGGUAAUGGCCUACCAAGGCGUCGACGGGUAGCCGGCCUGAGAGGGUGUACGGCCACAUUGGGACUGAGAUACGGCCCAGACUCCUACGGGAGGCAGCAGUGGGGAAUAUUGCACAAUGGGCGCAAGCCUGAUGCAGCGACGCCGCGUGGGGGAUGACGGCCUUCGGGUUGUAAACUCCUUUCGCUAGGGACGAAGCGUAUUUGUGACGGUACCUGGAGAAGAAGCACCGGCUAACUACGUG